Zophobas morio is the source of this 307-nucleotide long non-coding RNA. RefSeq lists it as uncharacterized. The transcript is spliced from 4 exons. NCBI's taxonomy places the organism in Eukaryota, Metazoa, Arthropoda, Insecta, Coleoptera, Tenebrionidae. The record is from RefSeq and is a predicted model, not a curated record.
CGUCAUCGUUAUUCUGAUUUUAUAGUACGAGAAAUCGACUUGAAUAACAAUACUUUAAAAUUUACUGACUUUGAAGAAAAUCAGUCAGAAAAUUUCCGUAGCGAUGAGGAUGUUAAAUUGUUAACCCCUUUAUCGGAGGAUGAAUUGUGGAGCAAAUGUGAAGAAGUCUUGGGUUUAGAGUUUACUGUCAUUCUGAAAAAUUGUUAUCUAAAUGGAAAGAUGGGCAAUUCGGAUUGUGCCCAAUUAAUUAUCCCCGACAAGAAUAAACGUUAUGAAGUACACACUUUUAUACGCAACAAUUUUACUG